GUGGUCAGGUAGAGAAUACCAAGGCGCUUGAGAGAACUCGGGUGAAGGAACUAGGCAAAAUGGUGCCGUAACUUCGGGAGAAGGCACGCUGACAUGUAGGUGAAGUGAUUUACUCAUGGAGCUGAAGUCAGUCGAAGAUACCAGCUGGCUGCAACUGUUUAUUAAAAACACAGCACUGUGCAAACACGAAAGUGGACGUAUACGG
RNAcentral lists this ribosomal RNA (205 nucleotides) under Salmonella enterica subsp. enterica serovar Worthington str. BCH-5715. Its description in RNAcentral is "partial 23S ribosomal RNA". It matches the Rfam family "Bacterial large subunit ribosomal RNA", at positions 1663 to 1850 of the family's 2925-position model. Lineage: Bacteria; Pseudomonadati; Pseudomonadota; Gammaproteobacteria; Enterobacterales; Enterobacteriaceae. The record is from RNAcentral.